Molecule: RNA transcript, 3391 nt
Organism: Strigops habroptila (Kakapo)
Lineage: Eukaryota; Metazoa; Chordata; Aves; Psittaciformes; Psittacidae
Gene: KDM8
Gene name: lysine demethylase 8
Exons: 6
Source: RefSeq, a predicted model, not a curated record
CCGCGCAGGCCCGGCAGCCGCGCGCUGCUAUGGCGGCGCCCGCUGAGGCGGCGGCCCCGGCUGCCGCCCCCGCGGUGAGCGGCGCGCUCUGGGCCGAGGUGUGGGCGCUGCUGCCAGGCACCGAGGAGGAGCUCACCUUGGCGCUGAGCGGAGAGGUGGACGACUGCGUGCAGCCGCUGCUGCGGCGGGCCCGCGGGCUGCUCUACGGCGCGGCGGGCCGGCCCUGCGGGGAGGAGGCGGCGGCGGCGCUGCGGCGCUUGGGCGACAUCCUUCGGGACUACUCGUGGGAGAAGCUGAACGCGGGCCCGUGGCGGGAGAUCAGCAAGGCCUGGCGGCAGGUCUACACCUACGGCUGCCUCUUCGGGGCGCUGGCCGAGGUCGCCGCGGGCCGCCCGGUGGCGCCCGCCGUCCGCCUCUGCGACAUGGGGCUGCUCAUGGGCGCCUCCGUCCUGGACAACGUGCUCGCGCGCCUCGUCCGCGUCCUGCAGCGGCAGCUGCCCCGGGAGCAGCGGCGCGGCGCGGCCGCGCUGGCCGCUGAGGUACGGCCUGAGGGGCCCGACCCCCCGCGCCGCCCUCCCCUUCCCUCCCCCCGGGGCGGGGGCUCCGCGGGGCCGGCGCUGGCAGCUGCGGGACCCACCACGGUGUUGCAGAGCGUCUGGACCGAGCCCCGCCCCGCCCCUGCCGUGCGGCCGGAGGACGCGCUCCCGCGGCUGCGGUGCCCUUCGCUGGAGCACUUCAGAGACAACUACCUCAUCCCGCAGAAACCCGUCGUCCUGGAGGGGAUUAUGGACCACUGGCCGUGCAUGAAGAAGUGGAGCGUGGACUAUUUCUGUCAAAUCGCUGGGUGCCGCACAGUUCCUGUGGAAUUGGGCACCCGAUACACAGAUGAGGAAUGGUCUCAGAAGCUCAUGACUGUCAGUGACUUCAUCAGCCAGUAUAUUGUGAAUGAGAAGAGCGUAGGAUACCUUGCCCAGCACCAGCUUUUUGAUCAGGUAAAACUGAGUGCAUGUUUUUGUCUUUCUGCAGUCCAGUGUUCCCUUUGUCAUCUCUGAGGAUGUCAACUCUACUAGAUGGAAUGGCAUAUGGAGAAUUUGCAAUAUUUCUUAUGUUUGUAGUCCCACAAUUUGAAGGAACGGAGGGAGGGAUUGGGUCCAUUUGGCCGAAAGGCAUGGAAACAAAAUUCUUCAAGGGGUGAAGACAUUCAGUCAUAGUGCUUUUCAGUACAAUGUAGCAUAAACGUAUAGGGAUAUCACCUGGAAAGCAGCAUUUCCCUAAAGAAUAUGCAAAUCGGGGAAUAGGUUUGGACAAGAAACAGACUUCAGUGGUGGUAUGUUCAUCGUAUUCUGAAAUGUCAUUCCAGUUAACCAGAGAUCAGGUUGAUGGGAGAUGUAAAAAGGCAUCUCGCAGAUUCUGCGAAGAAUGAGAAACCCCUUUCUUUCUCCCACCUCUCCUUCCAACAGAAUCUGCUUGCUAGGACAGAAGGUGGGAGGACAUUUCCUGCAGGUUCCUAGCAGUUCAGCUACUUCUCUCCUGCCUUUGCUGGACAAGCAGAUCCCAGAAUUGAAAGAAGAUAUCAAUAUCCCUGACUACUGCUGCCUGGGGGAAGGGGAUGAAGAUCACAUCACCAUCAACGCUUGGUUUGGUCCACAAGGCACUAUCUCACCUCUUCAUCAGGAUCCCCAGCAAAAUUUUUUAGCCCAGGUAUUUGGAAGGAAGUAUAUCCGCCUGUAUUCACCACAAGAUUCAGAAAACCUGUACCCACAUGAAAGCCAAAUUCUUCACAACACAAGUCAGGUUGAUGUGGAAGACCCUGACUUAGUUAAGUUCCCCAAUUUCAGAAAGGCUGCAUCUCAGUCCUGUAUUCUGAUGCCUGGACAGGUUCUGUUUAUUCCAGUUAAAUAUUGGCACUAUGUACGAUCGCUUGAUACCAGUUUCUCAGUCAGCUUCUGGUGGUCAUAGCUCUGAAGCAUGCAGAAAGUCUGUUAGCAUUGCAACAGGAAUUAAGAAUUCUUCUUAAGCAUAAGAAUGUUCUUCCCUAUCCAGAGGUUAGAGGUGGAUUAAAAAAAAUCCAACAAACUCGUGCUUCAGCAGGGUGAAAGAAUCUGGAUGGGUAAACAGAAGAUGCUGCAGCCACCUCAGUGUUGUGGGUGUUUCCAAUAUGAACGCCUCAUAAAGAGCUUAUGUUAGAUCAUCAUCGUGUGUGUGUACAUCUGAAACAGCUCUAUCUGUGGGCGUUGCCAGGACUCUGCUUCUAACUGUAUUUGGCACAUCAGGUUAGUGUUAUCUUCUACUUGGAUUUAACAACAAACUGGGAGUUACAAAAGCAGUGAGGGAUGGUGCUACCCGAAGGCAGCAAGAUGCCAGUCUCCUAUACAGAAAAAGUUACCAGUGUUGAGACCUAGGAACAUAAUUGUGGCUAAUCCUCGGUUUAAUUGCAGCUGAAGCUUAAUCAUACUUCAAAUACCUGCCUUCUGCAGAUAUGCUGCCAUUCCACACUGGCACCUGGCAAGAUUUGGUCCUUCUGGUUUUUUUGUCACUAUUAAAGGAAAAAGCAUCCUUACAUAAAACUAGACAGUGAAGUGCUAAUACUAAAAACUAACUUUAAUUACAAUUUUUUCCACACUUCACAGACAUAAGCUGGCAUUGCCCCAGAGUCCUGUCCUGCUCCUGCCCAAUCGUUUUGACUGUGGGAAUAUUCCCUCUUUUACUGAGCACAGCUGCUCACAACCUGUCCUUGUGUUGGAUGAACUCUCCUGCGUCUCCGGAAGGGACAAAACCCAAGCAGCAGUGCCCACUGAAAGCAUUCAAACUCUAGCCCUAGGUCAGACAUUCAGCCGCCUGCCUUAGUGAGGACACCACAAGUGCUGCAUUGAUUUUUCACCUACUUGAAGCCCUGUGGUGCUAGGUGGGAACAGGUUUCAUUUUCAGUUGUGCCCCAACCCAGGAGCAUGGAGAACAAACAGCAUCCAAGAGAGCUGUGCAGGCAUAACUGAAGGAGAACAGGAAGGUCAAUGAUAAUUUUAUUGUAAAAUUCUUAAAAGCUUGAGGAAAAACUAAGUACUCUGACCAAUGCUCUGUCUGUUGCUAAUGAAUACAAUACGAGCCUGGGUGUUCUGCAAGAGUGGGGAAAAGAGAUUUCACUGAAAUCCAGUUUUUCUAGGAUCGUCUCGUGCUGACCAUGAAGCUCUUCUCUGUUCUCCCUGUUUUUGGUGGUGACUGAGAGUCUGUGCGACUCACACCUGUGAAGAAAACAAAAGGAAGGUCAAUGACGGACGCAUACAAAAGGAUAUAUGAUACUGUAUAGCCUCCAGAUUUCUAAAAUGCUUUAUACACUCCUGUGUUCCUGCUCAGUGUCCAAUUUCCUUGGCUAAAUAAAGGAAUUCCAAAGAGA